Molecule: ribosomal RNA, 408 nt
Filed under: bacterium enrichment culture clone ALO1_GLFRUDD03HCOG7
Lineage: Bacteria
Description: bacterial SSU rRNA
Rfam family: Bacterial small subunit ribosomal RNA
Source: RNAcentral
GAGUUUGAUCAUGGCUCAGAUUGAACGCUGGCGGCAUGCCUUACACAUGCAAGUCGAACGGCAGCACGGGAGCUUGCUCCUGGUGGCGAGUGGCGAACGGGUGAGUAAUGCAUCGGAACGUAUCCUGGAGUGGGGGAUAACGUAGCGAAAGUUACGCUAAUACCGCAUAUUCUGUGAGCAGGAAAGCGGGGGACCUUCGGGCCUCGCGCUCUUGGAGCGGCCGAUGUCGGAUUAGCUAGUUGGUGAGGUAAAGGCUCACCAAGGCGACGAUCCGUAGCAGGUCUGCGAGGAUGAUCUGCCACACUGGAACUGAGACACGGUCCAGACUCCUACGGGAGGCAGCAGUGGGGAAUUUUGGACAAUGGGGGCAACCCUGAUCCAGCCAUGCCGCGUGAGUGAAGAAGGCCU